UACGUAGGGGGCAAGCGUUAUCCGGAUUUACUGGGUGUAAAGGGAGCGUAGACGGCAUGGCAAGUCUGAAGUGAAAUGCGGGGGCUCAACCCCUGAACUGCUUUGGAAACUGUUAAGCUAGAGUGUCGGAGAGGUAAGUGGAAUUCCUAGUGUAGCGGUGAAAUGCGUAGAUAUUAGGAGGAACACCGGUGGCGAAGGCGGCUUACUGGACGAUGACUGACGUUGAGGCUCGAAAGCGUGGGGAG
This 245-nucleotide ribosomal RNA is filed under the name uncultured Lachnospiraceae bacterium. Its description in RNAcentral is "partial 16S ribosomal RNA". It matches the Rfam family "Bacterial small subunit ribosomal RNA", at positions 524 to 768 of the family's 1533-position model. Lineage: Bacteria; Bacillati; Bacillota; Clostridia; Lachnospirales; Lachnospiraceae. The record is from RNAcentral.